GACGAACGCUGGCGGCGUGCUUAACACAUGCAAGUCGAACGGUGAAGCGAGUGCUUGCACUCGUGGAUCAGUGGCGAACGGGUGAGUAACACGUGAGUAACCUGCCCAUCACUCUGGGAUAAGCACUGGAAACGGUGUCUAAUACUGGAUACGACCAACCCUUGCAUGGGGUGUUGGUGGAAAGAUUUAUCGGUGAUGGAUGGACUCGCGGCCUAUCGGCUUGUUGGCGGGGUAAUGGCCUACCAAGGCGACGACGGGUAGCCGGCCUGAGAGGGUGACCGGCCACACUGGGACUGAGACACGGCCCAGACUCCUACGGGAGGCAGCAGUGGGGAAUAUUGCACAAUGGGCGAAAGCCUGAUGCAGCGACGCCGCGUGAGGGAUGACGGCCUUCGGGUUGUAAACCUCUUUCAGCAGGGAAGAAGCGAAAGUGACGGUACCUGCAGAAGAAGCACCGGCUAACUACGUG
RNAcentral lists this ribosomal RNA (469 nucleotides) under uncultured bacterium. Its description in RNAcentral is "partial 16S ribosomal RNA". It matches the Rfam family "Bacterial small subunit ribosomal RNA", at positions 28 to 507 of the family's 1533-position model. The record is from RNAcentral.